RNAcentral lists this ribosomal RNA (332 nucleotides) under uncultured eukaryote. RNAcentral's name for it is "partial 18S ribosomal RNA". It matches the Rfam family "Eukaryotic small subunit ribosomal RNA", at positions 1470 to 1796 of the family's 1831-position model. The record is from RNAcentral.
CCCUUAGAUGAUUUGGGCUGCACGCGCGCUACACUGGAAGUUACGGAUUGAGAUACUACCUUGUCCGAAAUGGUCCGGGUAAUCACCUAAAAGCUUGUCAUAAUUGGAAUGGAUUAUUGUAACUAGUAAUCCUGAACGAGGAAUUCCUAGUAAGUCCCAGUCAACAGCUGGUACUGAUUACGUCCCUGCCCUUUGUACACACCGCCCGUCGCUACUACUGAUUGGACGUUUAAGCAAGAUUUUUAAACACUGACAGUGUGUAGUUCACGCUAUACUACAGUGAGAAGAAGAAGAUCGAGCUUACUUGUCUAGAGGAAGUAAAAGUCGUAACA